GGAGGAUUGGGUUUGAUAACAUUGUCUGAUUACAACACCUUUGACAGCUUUAAAGGAAUUUGCAGACAGAGAAGGACAACAGCUGCUACUUUUUUGAAGGAUUUGCUAACCAUGCCUCCCAACUUAAGUGCACAGGCUUGAGACUUCAGAGUAUGCUUUUUAACACAUCAUGGAACAGAAGUAAUGAAGGGGUUUCUUUUCCAAGGCUUUCAGAAGUUCUGCAAAUGUCAUUUUUUUGCAGCAUGAAUUUAUUCCUUCAGAUUCUCCAAUGCACAAGAAAGAAAAGCCAAGUUUUACCUAAUGUCCUCCAUCCAUACUAAGGAAAAGAUCUUCCGUGAACCAAGCAUUCAGAGAAAAGCAAAAAGUAGAGAGAAGAGUUUGAUUCCAGGAACCAAGAGAAUGGUUUA
Candoia aspera is the source of this 407-nucleotide long non-coding RNA. RefSeq lists it as uncharacterized. The transcript is spliced from 3 exons. NCBI's taxonomy places the organism in Eukaryota, Metazoa, Chordata, Lepidosauria, Squamata, Candoiidae. The record is from RefSeq and is a predicted model, not a curated record.